RNAcentral lists this long non-coding RNA (6244 nucleotides) under Sus scrofa (pig). RNAcentral describes it as "lncRNA (ENSSSCG00025064928.1)". The record is from RNAcentral. Lineage: Eukaryota; Metazoa; Chordata; Mammalia; Artiodactyla; Suidae.
CUGUUGUUGUUGCUAUUUCUUGGGCCGCUCCCCCGGCAUAUGGAGGUUCCCAGGCUAGGGGUUGAAUCGGAGCUGUAGCCACCAGCCUACACCAGAGCCACAGCAACGCGGGAUCCGAGCUGCAUCUGCAACCUACACCACAGCUCAUGGCAACGCCGGAUCGUUAACCCGCACCCUCAUGGUUCCUAGUCGGAUUCGUUAACCACUGCGCCACGACGGGAACUCCAUCAGCAGGAUAUUCUAGAUGUGAUACUGAAAAGCAAGAGUGAGUCAACAGCAGAAUAAUUAGCUUCUCCACAGGAACCUGCAGUCUAAUUUUAAAGCUUAUCUGAUGUUUCUCAUUAAAAUAACAUAAAUAUGUUUCUUGAGCUUUUAUUCCUCUCCAACUCUCAUCCUAUUUCUCUACAUACUACCUGAAAUUUAUCCCAUAUUCCAAUAUUUUGAUACUAGGAAAUACUACUUCCUCCCUUUUAUUACCAGUGAAAGUAGGAUGUUUCCCAAAAUGUGGUAUGGUUUUUAGAUUAGUAUGGAAAAGAAAGGAGAGGUAGAUAUUUUCAGCCUCCACUCUCUCCAUCCUUUAACUAUCUAUACCUUCUUAAAGGAAGUGAUUUUUUGUCAUAUUUAUAACCCAACAGAGUCCUGGUCUCCGUAUGUGGGAAAGAGGAAGGUUUAGCAUGAGGCUCUGACUCUAUGUAAUCCCACUCCUUUUAUAUGUGUGGGAUAGCUAGAAUUCAAGUGUAAGUUGCACACAUAGGAAGUCUUAUAUUACCAUCCUAGGUCUGAGCUUUCAUUGUAUCCCCUACUAAUUCAUCCUUUCAGCAGUAGAUAAGAUUCUGCACAGAACAAUGUGUUUGGGUGGUAAGAAGUUGGAAAGAGGGAUUGGAGAACAUGACAGUCACGUGGCCUGACAUGGCUAUGUAUCUAGCAGAUCAGUGAGACAAGAGGAGUCAAAAGUAGGGCAGAGUUGGAGUAGAAAAAGAAUGACAAAAUGGAAACAGGUAUUUAAUAUCAAGGAAAAGUUCCCAAGUAGACAUUAAAACAUCUAAGUUCUAAUUUAUUCAGAAUAUUUACUAGCCGUGUGAUUAUGAUCAAAAGCUAAACUAGUUAAUACUGGUGUUAAAUAAUUUAGAAAAUGGGACAUAUAAUGAACAAAUACUUGUAAAUUGUCUGAAAACUAUAACCUCUAUGCAAAUUAAGCAGAUAUAUUACAAAUUAUUAUAAGAAUGUCUUUACACAUAUUAUUAUUGUCUACAAAUGGUACAACUUAAGUAUUUGAUUAAAAAUAUAUUUUGUUUGUUUUGAGUAAUCUUAUUCACUCUUAUUUUUGCCAUUUUCUUCAUUUUAUUUAUUUAUUUAUAGAAGUAUGGUCGAUUUAGGAUGUUGUAUUAGUUGUAUUAGUACAGCAAAGUUAUUCAGUUGUAAAUAUAUAUAAAUAUAUGUAUAUGUAUAAAUAUGUGUAUUCUUUUUCAGAUUCUGUCCCAAUAUUUUAAAAUAUUGAGUAUAGUUCCUUGUGCUAUACAGUAGGUCCUUGUUUAUAUAUUUUAUAUUUAGCUGUGUGUAUAUGUUAAUCUCAAAUUGCUAAUUUACCCCUCCCCCCACCUUUCCCUUUGGUAACUAUAAAUUUGCUUUCUAUGUCUGUGAGUCUGUUUCUGAAAAUGAUCCUAUAAUCCCAACUUCAGCAUGUAAAUCUGGAGAAAACUAUAAUUUGAAAAGAUGCAUGCACUCUAAUGUUCAUUGCAGCAAUAUUUAUACUAGCCAAGACAUGGAAGCAACCUAAACCUAAAUAUCCAUCAACAGAUGAAUGGUUAAAGAAGAUGUGGUAUAUAUAGAAAGACAAACAUCAUAUGAUAUCACUUAUAGGUGGAAUCUAAAAAACUAUGAUACACAUGAACUUAUUUAUGAAUAAUUCACUCUCAUUUUUUAUAGAAGUGCAACUCAAACUAACUUAAAAUGGUUAGUUCAUUUAACAAAGAGGUUUGUUUCAGAUAUAGAUAGAUUUGGGGUUAAUGUAAUACUGUCAUGAUUAUGCCUCCAUUUAUCAGUUCAGCUGAUGAUCUUGCCGCUUUUUUCGUGUUGGACUUCUUAUUCUACUGCAGAUAAACUUUUUUGCAUAACCAAGAAGGAUGACUCCUGGGAAUCAUACCCUAUUUGUUUAUAGCUAAGGAUACGACAGCAUUCCCAGUGGGAAAGCUCACAGGAUAAUUCUCAUUGAUCUCUCUGGGUCCUAGUGGCCAACUUUGCAUCAACCACUCUUCCCACAGGGAUGCAGUGUUAUAACUGGCCUAGCUUGACCGAUAUGCUCAACUUUGUUGCUAUGUAAUCCACUAUACAAGAAUGUCCAUCUCAUAGGACUACAAAUGAGGUGAAUUCCAAUUAACAAGUGAAAGAAGGUUUCCACAAUUUCAAUAGUUGAAAUUAAAAAAAAAUACCACAUAUGAUAUUUAUAUCAUUUGAGUUACAAAAUAAUUGGGAAUUUGGUUUGAUAGAGCAAAUUCUGAAAUUUAUUUUUUAUUUUUAUUUAUUUUUGUAUUUAUUUUUUGUCUUUUUUGCCAUUCCUUGGGCCGCUCACAUGGCAUAUGGAGGUUCCCAGGCCAGGGGUCCAGUCGGAGCUGUAGCCACUGGCCUGCACCAGAGCCAUAGCAACGCUGGAUCCGAGCUGCGUCUGCAACCUACACCACAGCUCAGGGCAACACCAGAUCCUUAACCCACUGAGCAAGGCCAGGGAUCGAACCCACAACCUCAUGGUUCCUAGUCGGAUUCGCUAACCACUGAGCCACGACGGGAACCCCAUCCGAAAUUUAUAAACCUGUAAAAGCACUGGGAAACUGGGAGAAAUGCGAAAAGAAAGACAACUGGGAGGGUGUUCAGGCAUAGGAAAGCACAAGUGUGGCUUACAUUGAACUCAUAGUACCGACUGAUAUCUGAUGUUUCACUGAAAAUGUCUUUAUUAAUUAAGUGUACUAUAAAUCCCACCUAGUUUUCCCAACUCAGGCACGCUUUAGUUCUCCAGGUCAGGUGGUAUACUUGUUAAAUCCUCUGUAGGAGGAAAUAAAGUGGAGCAAAGAAAAAUCAAGAAGAAAUAUAGACGUACUCAUGUCAAACCCCGUGUUCUAUCUCUCCUACUAUUUCUUCUAUAUUUUCCAAAACACUUUUUAAACCUGUAUUUACUAUAUAUUUAAAACAGCAUGGAAGUUUUCAAUGUUCUGUUUUUUGGAAACAUAACACAAUAAAAAUGAGUAACACAACUCCUUAAAAUAGACCACUCUUAUUCUUUCUAAAGUGUAGUGGUAGAUAGAACUGCUUUCUUUUGACAAACUUAUAUUUUUCCCCUCUUUUCCUUGCAUAGUUCAGUGUUCAGUUCUAUAGUGAUGAAUGUAUUGUAUUCCUCAAGGCAGUUCUGACUCUAAUCAAAGAAGUGGGAGUGUUCUAAGCAAGAAAUUACAGUAAAUCUUAAGUAUAUGUUGGUCUUUACAACAUGCUUACUCGUCUAUUCAGGGAAGAAAGCUACUCAUUUUGCUGUAGUUUCCGAGUUUUCCCUCUUAAAGCCUCUAAAUUACGAUGAUUUUACACACAUUUCCUUUCAAAUGUUCUCAUUACCUUAGCUUGAAAUAAAGUACUUAUAGACCUUAGUAUGAGAGUCAUGCAUUUUAAAUGUAAGCAAUUAUCAAAGUGUGAAAUAGAAAUUUUUCAUUUUUUUUACCACUUCAUUUGUUUAUUAAUUACUGGAGACUCUGAAUAAUGUCAGACCACAGCGAAAAUCAGUAUUUGUUUAGAGUUUUUUUUCUUUUCAUCUUUCAAAAUUUUUUUUCUGAUAUUUUGGAUUUUUCUGUGAAAAAGAAGUUAUGUAUAAUGUUAGGGUGUAGUGGCACUAGAAUCUUAAUCUGGAUUUUCUGUCAAGGAUAACUUAAAACGUUAAUAAAAAGCAAAAUACAUUAACUGAUUUUAGUGAGGUAUAUGUUGAAGAAUAGAUAGGUGAAGGAACCCAUGGAUCAAUGAGACAACCAUCCAUCUUACUGCCCCAGGGAUUUUUAGGCUAUUCUACCUGAGGCUGUCUGUACCCUCUCUAUUAAAUGAUGUUCUCUCUAUCUUGGGCCCAGGUGUCAUUCUUCUCCACAGGAGGGCCCUGAACAUCUCACUCUAUCCUGACUCUCAAGAAAGCAUGAAGGACAGAUGCUGGAGGUUUUCACAUGAAAGUUUGAUAGUCUAUAAACCCUUAGCAUUUACCUAAGGAAGGUGCAUGGUCCACUGGGUUCAGUUUUAAAUUUCAUUGAGCCACCGAUCCUCAAAACAAGUCAGUCACUCAUUAUUAUGUCUGGGGUAAUUAGCACAGAGAGCACACAAUAUAAACUCAGUUGCUUGUGCUAUGUGUAUUAGAGAAACAUCAUCCAAAUAGUAGAUAAAAUAAAAAUUUGAACUAUCGUAAUUUAGUGAUUCCCAGAAGAUAUAUAUUUUUAUAGUCUGCCUGAGCUAAUUUUCUACAUAGAAUGAUUUAUUUUUACCUAAUUUUUAAGGAGGUGAAUUGGUUUUGAACAAAUUUGAUGUCAGUCAUGGAAAUAUUGUUGGUCUGUGUCUUAAUAUUUAGGUCAUCUUGCUGUAUCACCAAAUUAAGAUACGCAAAAGAAAAUAUUAGUAAUAUUUAAUAAAAAGAUUAUAAUAGAGAACUCUUAUUGAAUAUGUAAUUGUGCAUGGUGUGAAUUAAAGCCCGUUUGUGUUCUAACUGAUGUUACAUAGUUGUAGUUUUCACUCAACAUAAGUUAUACUGCCAUACAUCGUCCAAGAAUAUGCCUGAGGCCAGAAUAAAGUUGUAUCAAUAGUUGUUAUGAAUGUUACAUAAAAUGACAGAACUCAGUAAGUCGACCUCAUACACCUUAGAAAUAACCGUCAUCACCACCACCUUCAUCAACGGCAGCAUCACAGCGCAGUCACCAUGUCCAAACUCACUGCAUACACGACUGUAUUUCAGUUAAUAUUACCAGUACCUCUUUGACGUAGAUGUAAUCGAUUCCAUUCUAAAUACACAAAAACAGGAAUCAGAUAGAUUAAGUAACUUGUCCCAAGACACGCAGCUGAAAAAAUGGCAUAAGCUAGGAUUUCAACAUUGUUCUCUUCUAUUCUGGAAUUCUCAUCAACCACCACCAUACAUUCUACCGCUUCUCUUAGGAACACACUCGACAACCCAGAUGUUCACUUGAUUUUACUGACGUAUUUUACAUGAGCCUGUUGUUUUCCUUGCGUGGACAGUUUCCAUGGAAAUCCUCUGAUUCCUGACUUCUACUGUCUACUGUUUUCUCAAUUAUAUGUGAAAUGUAGCUUCUGAUUUCCUCACUUAGGAAUUAGGUCAAUUUAGAUGAAACUGAUAACAGAGUCUUGGCACAUGACUCAUUUUUUUUUUCAUAGUAUUAUUCUUGCCAUAAGUGAUUUUUAUUCCUUACCUUAUGCAAAUUAUCAUCACCUAAAUCCAGCAUACCAGAAGAUUUGAAAAUUAAGUACUGUCUGAGACUUUGAGAUAGGAAAGUCAGUUAGAUUUGUCUUACAGAGAACCCAUUUUCUGGGGGCCAUGCCACUUCCAGAUAACUUAGAUCAUGUUGCUAAAUUAUAUGAACUAAAAGAGAGGCAAAAAUCAGGAAAAAAAAAAAAAAACUGGUUCAAAAUGUACAAAGGGCAAAUCUCAUUAGAAGGAUUUACAAUCCAAUUACAUGAGUUCUAAGAGACUAGCCAAAUUAUUGAGGCUAUUCAUAUUAUUUUACUAGAGCAGAGUGUCACUAUAUUGAAUAAAGGAAUUAUUAGCAAGACCUUGAAAGAACAGUUAGAGAUCUUUGUUCUAAUAUGAUUUGAUUUGUUUAUAAAGUGUUUCCCAAAGCCAGUAACAAUUGUCAUGCUGGUAUUAUAAUAAUGUUUUCUUUUUUCAUAUUCAAAUCUUAAACUAGACUUUUGAAUAAAUACAAGAGGGGUGGAUGUUAAUGCAUUUCCUGAGUGAGGAUUAAGCAUCUAUAUUUUUAAUUGCCAUAAUGAUUAACUUUCUCUAAAUGAGUACAACUCUUUAGAAUAUUUUUUUUACCACCAGACAUUUUUUUUACUGCAUAAAGUAUGAAAUAAUGAAGCACUCAAAUGGUAACAUUCUACUGCAAAUCAUCAACCAACAAAGCUUCUGUUUUCAUUGUUGUUCUCACUAAAAUCUAUAUAAAGUAGAGAAUAACAAGGAGAAAAAAACACAGAGAAAAAAAUUACUUUAAAGAUUAUGAAC